UGGCGAUGAUUUUAUAUUAUCCGCGCUUCUGAGUUUCGGCACGGAAGCAUAAUUGGUUAAAAUGGUUGAAUUUCUUGAUAUGAGCCA
Non-coding RNA from Cajanus cajan (pigeon pea), 87 nucleotides. The record is from Rfam. NCBI's taxonomy places the organism in Eukaryota, Viridiplantae, Streptophyta, Magnoliopsida, Fabales, Fabaceae.